GAAGGUGUGGAAAUAUGUGUGAGACCACCUUGUUGAUUAUACCCAAAGCCGGCUGUAAAGCGUUAACCCCACAAUUGGCUUUUGUUUCGAGAAAGGAGUCUGGACAAAGCCUACAUGCCAAGGUUUUUCUUAGCUCAUCUGGUGAGCCACUACAGCCUUUUUCGGCUGAAGGAUCCACAUGAAGACAGAGAUCUCCUCACUCUCAGCACCUCAGAAAGAAUUGUAGGGAUUUAUGUCUCUCAGGGGGAAACAAGGUGGGAGAUUAGGGCAUGGCAAUCAGCUGGGCAACUGGGCCUAACCUGUCAAUCACAGCCAGGACGCAUGGGCAGAACAGCUUCUGAGCCCUGAUCAGUCAUCAGAAUGGUGUAUAAAAGACCCGGCUGUCCUGGUGUGGUGACUCAUGCCUGUAAGCCCAGCACUCAGGAGGCUGAGGCAGGAGGAUCACUGAAAGUUUGAGGCCAGCUUGGGCUACACGGUGAGUACAAGGCCAGGCUGAAUUACAGAGUGAGACUCUGUCUAAAAAAACAAACAACAAAAACCUAGCCAUGAAGCUCACGGCUGCUGUAACCCCUUUGACCAAUCUGCCUUACACUUUAUAGGACAUUUCUUUUCCUACCUUAAUGGACCUCACUUGCUCCACAGAGCACACUUUUCCUACUUUUACCUUUAAUCCUUCCUUCAAUACCUU
RNAcentral lists this long non-coding RNA (688 nucleotides) under Fukomys damarensis (Damara mole-rat). RNAcentral's name for it is "lncRNA (ENSFDAG00000025651.1)". The record is from RNAcentral. Lineage: Eukaryota; Metazoa; Chordata; Mammalia; Rodentia; Bathyergidae.